Molecule: ribosomal RNA, 444 nt
Filed under: uncultured bacterium
Lineage: Bacteria
Description: SSU rRNA
Rfam family: Bacterial small subunit ribosomal RNA
Source: RNAcentral
AGAGCGAACGCUGGCGGCAGGCUUAACACAUGCAAGUCGAGCGGAUGUAGCAAUACAUCAGCGGCAGACGGGUGAGUAACACGUGGGAACGUACCUUUGGUUCGGAACAACACAGGGAAACUUGUGCUAAUACCGGAUAAGCCCUUACGGGGAAAGAUUUAUCGCCGAAAGAUCGGCCCGCGUCUGAUUAGCUAGUUGGUGAGGUAAUGGCUCACCAAGGCGACGAUCAGUAGCUGGUCUGAGAGGAUGAUCAGCCACAUUGGGACUGAGACACGGCCCAAACUCCUACGGGAGGCAGCAGCGGGGAAUAUUGGACAAUGGGCGCAAGCCUGAUCCAGCCAUGCCGCGUGAGUGAUGAAGGCCCUAGGGUGUAAAGCUCUUUGUGCGGGAAGAUAAUGACGGUACCGCAAGAAUAAGCCCGGCUAACUUCGUGCCAGCAGCCGC